CAAUAGCGUAUAUUAAAGUUGUUGCAGUUAAAAAGCUCGUAGUUGGAUUUCUGGUCGGAAGCUCCUGUCCUCUGAUGAGCGUACAAGUGCGUCCUACCAUCCUUCUGUUAACCUUUAAGGCUUUCGCGGCUUUCUAGGGGCUCAGAUAUUUUACCUUGAGAAAAUUAGAGUGUUUCAGGCAGGCUAGCGCCGGAAUACAUUAGCAUGGAAUAAUAAGAUAGGACUUUGGUGCUAUUUUGUUGGUUGAGCCUAAAGUAAUGAUUAAUAGGGAUAGUUGGGGGCACCUGUAUUGCGUUGUCAGAGGUGAAAUUCUUGGAUUUACGCAAGACAAACAGCUGCGAANGNGUCUGGNAAGGAUGUUUNCAUUA
This 368-nucleotide ribosomal RNA is filed under the name uncultured eukaryote. RNAcentral describes it as "partial 18S ribosomal RNA". It matches the Rfam family "Eukaryotic small subunit ribosomal RNA", at positions 592 to 975 of the family's 1831-position model. The record is from RNAcentral.